UGGGGAAUAUUGCGCAAUGGGGGAAACCCUGACGCAGCAACGCCGCGUGCGGGAUGAAGGCCUUCGGGUUGUAAACCGCUUUCAGCAGGGAAGACAUCGACGGUACCUGCACAAGAAGCCCCGGCUAACUACGUGCCAGCAGCCGCGGUAAUACGUAGGGGGCGAGCGUUAUCCGGAUUCAUUGGGCGUAAAGCGCGCGCAGGCGGCUCUUCAAGCGGAACCUCUAACCCCGGGGCUCAACCUCGGGCCGGGUUCCGAACUGGCGGGCUGGAGUGAGGUAGAGGCAGGCGGAAAUCCCGGUGUAGCGGUGGAAUGCGCGGAUAUCGGGAAGAACACCGAUGGCGAAGGCAGCCUGCUGGGCCGGCACUGACGCUGAGGCGCGAAAGCUAGGGGAGCGAACAGG
RNAcentral lists this ribosomal RNA (403 nucleotides) under Verrucomicrobiota bacterium. RNAcentral describes it as "Verrucomicrobia bacterium partial 16S ribosomal RNA". It matches the Rfam family "Bacterial small subunit ribosomal RNA", at positions 355 to 776 of the family's 1533-position model. The record is from RNAcentral. Lineage: Bacteria; Pseudomonadati; Verrucomicrobiota.